CUUCUCGUGGUAUACUGCGAAACACGCCUGUCUACUGAGUAGGAGUCGUGAGUUCGUCUCUCACCGAGAGGA
Molecule: non-coding RNA, 72 nt
Organism: Aedes albopictus (Asian tiger mosquito)
Lineage: Eukaryota; Metazoa; Arthropoda; Insecta; Diptera; Culicidae
Source: Rfam